GACGAACGCUGGCGGCGUGCUUAACACAUGCAAGUCGAACGGAAAGGCCCCUUUGGGGGUACUCGAGUGGCGAACGGGUGCGUAACACGUGAGUAACCUGCCCUUGACUUCGGGAUAACUUCAGGAAACUGGGGCUAAUACCGGAUAGGAAUCAUUGCUGCAAGGUGGGGGUUGGAAAGCUUCGGCGGUUUUGGAUGGACUCACGGCGUAUCAGCUUGUUGGUGGGGUAGUGGCUUACCAAUGCUUUGACGGGUAGCCGGCCUGAGAGGGCGACCGGCCACAUUGGGACUGAGAGACGGCCCAGACGCCUACGGGAGGCAGCAGUGGGGAAUAUUGCACAAUGGGCGGAAGCCUGAUGCAGCAGCGCCGCGUGCGGGAUGACGGCCUUCGGGUUGUAAACCGCUUUCAGCAGGAGCGAAGCUUGUGGUGACGGUACCUGCAGAAGAAGCACCGGCUAACUACGUG
This 465-nucleotide ribosomal RNA is filed under the name uncultured bacterium. RNAcentral's name for it is "partial 16S ribosomal RNA". It matches the Rfam family "Bacterial small subunit ribosomal RNA", at positions 28 to 507 of the family's 1533-position model. The record is from RNAcentral.